Molecule: ribosomal RNA, 809 nt
Filed under: uncultured Bacteroidota bacterium
Lineage: Bacteria; Pseudomonadati; Bacteroidota
Description: bacterial SSU rRNA
Rfam family: Bacterial small subunit ribosomal RNA
Source: RNAcentral
UGCAGUCGAGGGGUAGAGUUUCUUCGGAGACUUGAGACCGGCGCACGGGUGCGUAACGCGUAUGCAAUCUGCCCUUUACUGGGGAAUAGCCCGGAGAAAUUCGGAUUAAUGCCCCAUAUGCCCGCGGAAUCGCAUGGUUCAGCGGGGAAAGCUGAGGCGGUAAAGGAUGAGCAUGCGUCCCAUUAGCUAGUUGGUGAGGUAACGGCCCACCAAGGCGACGAUGGGUAGGGGGCCUGAGAGGGUGAUCCCCCACACUGGUACUGAGACACGGACCAGACUCCUACGGGAGGCAGCAGUGAGGAAUAUUGGGCAAUGGAGGCAACUCUGACCCAGCCAUGCCGCGUGCAGGAAGACGGCCCUCUGGGUUGUAAACUGCUUUUGUUUGGGAAUAAACCCUUCUACGUGUAGAAGGCUGAAGGUACCUUACGAAUAAGGAUCGGCUAACUCCGUGCCAGCAGCCGCGGUAAUACGGAGGAUCCAAGCGUUAUCCGGAUUUAUUGGGUUUAAAGGGUCCGUAGGCGGGUCUUUAAGUCAGUGGUGAAAGCCCACAGCUCAACUGUGGAACUGCCAUUGAUACUGGAGAUCUUGAGUGUAGUAGAAGUAGGCGGAAUAGGGCAUGUAGCGGUGAAAUGCAUAGAUAUGCCCUAGAACACCGAUUGCGAGGCAGCUUACUAUGUUACAACUGACGCUGAGGGACGAAAGCGUGGGGAGCAAACAGGAUUAGAUACCCUGGUAGUCCACGCUGUAAACGAUGAUUACUCGCUGUUGGCGACAUACAGUCAGCGGCCAAGCGAAAGCAUUAAGUAAUC